RNAcentral lists this microRNA (17 nucleotides) under Populus trichocarpa (black cottonwood). Its description in RNAcentral is "ptc-miR482a.1". Its record names the gene ptc-miR482a.1. RNAcentral also lists the same sequence under 1 other name. Lineage: Eukaryota; Viridiplantae; Streptophyta; Magnoliopsida; Malpighiales; Salicaceae. The record is from miRBase by way of RNAcentral.
CCUACUCCUCCCAUUCC